CUACGUGCCAGCAGCCGCGGUAAUACGUAGGGGGCAAGCGUUAUCCGGAUUUACUGGGUGUAAAGGGAGCGUAGACGGAAUGGCAAGUCUGAAGUGAAAUACCCGGGCUCAACCUGGGAACUGCUUUGGAAACUGUUGUUCUAGAGUGUUGGAGAGGUAAGUGGAAUUCCUGGUGUAGCGGUGAAAUGCGUAGAUAUCAGGAAGAACACCGGAGGCGAAGGCGGCUUACUGGACAAUAACUGACGUUCAUGCUCGAAAGCGUGGGUAGCAAACAGGAUUAGAUACCCUGGUAGUCCACGCCCUAAACGAUGUCAAUUAGCUGUUGGGCAACUUGAUUGCUUAGUAGCGUAGCUAACGCGUGAAAUUGACCGCCUGGGGAGUACGGUCGCAAGAUUAAAACUCAAAGGAAUUGACGGGGACCCGCACAAGCGGUGGAUGAUGUGGAUUAAUUCGAUGCAACGCGAAGAACCUUACCUGGUCUUGACAU
RNAcentral lists this ribosomal RNA (487 nucleotides) under uncultured bacterium. RNAcentral's name for it is "bacterial SSU rRNA". It matches the Rfam family "Bacterial small subunit ribosomal RNA", at positions 501 to 987 of the family's 1533-position model. The record is from RNAcentral.